RNAcentral lists this ribosomal RNA (468 nucleotides) under uncultured bacterium. Its description in RNAcentral is "partial 16S ribosomal RNA". It matches the Rfam family "Bacterial small subunit ribosomal RNA", at positions 28 to 507 of the family's 1533-position model. The record is from RNAcentral.
GACGAACGCUGGCGGCGUGCUUAACACAUGCAAGUCGAACGGUGAAGCUCCAGCUUGCUGGAGUGGAUCAGUGGCGAACGGGUGAGUAACACGUGAGCAACCUGCCCCUGACUCUGGGAUAAGCGCUGGAAACGGCGGCUAAUACUGGAUACGAGAAGGGUCCGCAUGGGCACGGUCUGGAAAGUUCUUCGGUUGGGGAUGGGCUCGCGGCCUAUCAGCUUGUUGGUGAGGUAAUGGCUCACCAAGGCGACGACGGGUAGCCGGCCUGAGAGGGCGACCGGCCACACUGGGACUGAGACACGGCCCAGACUCCUACGGGAGGCAGCAGUGGGGAAUAUUGCACAAUGGGCGAAAGCCUGAUGCAGCGACGCCGCGUGAGGGAUGACGGCCUUCGGGUUGUAAACCUCUUUCAGCAGGGAAGAAGCGAAAGUGACGGUACCUGCAGAAGAAGCACCGGCUAACUACGUG